RNAcentral lists this ribosomal RNA (523 nucleotides) under uncultured bacterium. RNAcentral describes it as "partial 16S ribosomal RNA". It matches the Rfam family "Bacterial small subunit ribosomal RNA", at positions 29 to 523 of the family's 1533-position model. The record is from RNAcentral.
AACGAACGCUGGCGGCGUGCCUAAUACAUGCAAGUCGAACGCUUUUUCUUUCACCGGAGCUUGCUCCACCGAAAGAAAAAGAGUGGCGAACGGGUGAGUAACACGUGGGUAACCUGCCCAUCAGAAGGGGAUAACACUUGGAAACAGGUGCUAAUACCGUAUAACACUAUUUUCCGCAUGGAAGAAAGUUGAAAGGCGCUUUUGCGUCACUGAUGGAUGGACCCGCGGUGCAUUAGCUAGUUGGUGAGGUAACGGCUCACCAAGGCAACGAUGCAUAGCCGACCUGAGAGGGUGAUCGGCCACACUGGGACUGCGACACGGCCCAGACUCCUACGGGAGGCAGCAGUAGGGAAUCUGCGGCAAUGGACGAAAGUCUGACCGAGCAACGCCGCGUGAGUGAAGAAGGUUUUCGGAUCGUAAAACUCUGUUGUUAGAGAAGAACAAGGAUGAGAGUAAAAUGUUCAUCCCUUGACGGUAUCUAACCAGAAAGCCACGGCUAACUACGUGCCAGCAGCCGCCGUAA